Molecule: ribosomal RNA, 460 nt
Filed under: uncultured bacterium
Lineage: Bacteria
Description: partial 16S ribosomal RNA
Rfam family: Bacterial small subunit ribosomal RNA
Source: RNAcentral
ACUACGGGUGGCAGCAGUGAGGAAUAUUGGUCAAUGGACGAGAGUCUGAACCAGCCAAGUAGCGUGAAGGAUGACUGCCCUAUGUGUUGUAAACUGCUUUUGUACGAGGGUAAACGCAGAUACGCGUAUCUGUCUGAAAGUAUCGUACGAAUAAGGAUCGGCUAACUCCGUGCCAGCAGCCGCGGUAAUACGGAGGAUACAAGCGUUAUCCGGAUUUAUUGGGUUUAAAGGGUGCGUAGGCGGUCGGAUAAGUUAGAUGUGAAAUCCCGAGGCUCAACUUCGGAAUUGCCUCUGAUACUGUUCGGCUAGAGAGUAGUUGCGGUAGGCGGAAUGUAUGGUGUAGCGGUGAAAUGCUUAGAGAUCAUACAGAACACCGAUUGCGAAGGCAGCUUACCAGGCUACUUCUGACGUUGAGGCACGAAAGCGUGGGGAGCAAACAGGAUUAGAUACCCGUGUAGUC